UACGUAGGGGGCAAGCGUUGUCCGGAAUCAUUGGGCGUAAAGAGCGUGUAGGCGGUCCGGUAAGUCGGCUGUGAAAGUCCAAGGCUCAACCUUGGGAUGCCGGUCGAUACUGCCGGACUAGAGUUCGGAAGAGGCGAGUGGAAUUCCCGGUGUAGCGGUGAAAUGCGCAGAUAUCGGGAGGAACACCGAUGGCGAAGGCAGCUCGCUGGGACGUUACUGACGCUGAGACGCGAAAGCGUGGGGAGCAAACAGG
Molecule: ribosomal RNA, 253 nt
Filed under: uncultured bacterium
Lineage: Bacteria
Description: partial 16S ribosomal RNA
Rfam family: Bacterial small subunit ribosomal RNA
Source: RNAcentral